RNAcentral lists this ribosomal RNA (404 nucleotides) under uncultured bacterium. Its description in RNAcentral is "bacterial SSU rRNA". It matches the Rfam family "Bacterial small subunit ribosomal RNA", at positions 355 to 776 of the family's 1533-position model. RNAcentral also lists the same sequence under 1 other name. The record is from RNAcentral.
UGGGGAAUAUUGGACAAUGGGGGCAACCCUGAUCCAGCAAUGCCGCGUGAGUGAUGAAGGCCUUAGGGUUGUAAAGCUCUUUCGGCGGGGACGAUGAUGACGGUACCCGCAGAAGAAGCCCCGGCUAACUUCGUGCCAGCAGCCGCGGUAAUACGAAGGGGGCGAGCGUUGUUCGGAAUUACUGGGCGUAAAGGGCGCGCAGGCGGCUCUGAAAGUCAGAUGUGAAAGCCCCGGGCUUAACCUGGGAAUUGCAUUUGAUACUCUAGAGCUUGAGUACGGGAGAGGAGAGUGGAAUUCCCAGUGUAGAGGUGAAAUUCGUAGAUAUUGGGAAGAACACCGGUGGCGAAGGCGGCUCUCUGGACCGUAACUGACGCUGAGGCGCGAAAGCGUGGGGAGCAAACAGG